This 371-nucleotide long non-coding RNA is filed under the name Parus major (Great Tit). RNAcentral's name for it is "lncRNA (ENSPMJG00000005832.1)". Lineage: Eukaryota; Metazoa; Chordata; Aves; Passeriformes; Paridae. The record is from RNAcentral.
GUAGGAGGAGACCAUCCCGUGCUGCAGCAAUCGGUCACUGAGUGUCUCAGCAGAGAAGAGGGGAUGGAUCUCCUGUGGAGAGCUGAGAACUCCAAGAUGCUUUUAGAUGAUUGGAAAAGAGCAACGCUCCCUUCCGCCUGCAGCAACAGCCCAAGGGCUUGGGAAGAACAAUCCCUUUACACAGCCUGGAACACCUGUAAGAGACACAAACAGCAAUUACCUUUUCUGCAGGAAAAGCCCAUCCUACCCAUCCAAACCAUCCUGUCCCUUGCUGAUAAAUCCUACACUCUCACAGUUUAGCUACUGCUGCUGUUUCCAUUAAAGAUUAUCGGUGUUUCCAUCCCAAAUAAACACAGGAUGGAGACAGACCA